Molecule: long non-coding RNA, 1897 nt
Filed under: Pelobates cultripes (western spadefoot toad)
Lineage: Eukaryota; Metazoa; Chordata; Amphibia; Anura; Pelobatidae
Source: RNAcentral
GCUUUAUUUAGUAACACAAUUUCUGUAAACAGACAAAACAGCUCUUAAAACACAUGAAAUACAAAUAUAUUAAUGAAUAUUUAAUGAACUUUACAUUUUGGGGAAAUAUUGUAAAGGUUAACAUUUUAAUCAAUGCACACACGACCUUUGAAUACCACCCGGAAGCUGACCUGAUCAACCAUGUGUUGUGAACCCGGUCACUGAUGGAUGGAUGGAUGGAUAAAAGGAUAAGAAAAAAAGACUUCAUAUUUUAUUUUUGUGUUUCCAAAAUGUAUGUCUUUAUUUCCAUAAUCUCUGAAUCUAUCUAUAAUAUUUAUUAUAAUUAUUAGUAUUUCUAUAGAAACAACAUAUAGUGCAGCUCUUCACAAGUUUUUAAACAUAUUGCUCAGAUUUUUGUAGGUGCUUUAAUUCUUGGUUUUAUAUACAAUAACGACCAUUGUGCAUCUGCCAAACCAUCAUUAACCAAGAGAGAACAAGAGAAAAACAUGUUUAACCAUUGACCAAGUGGAAUAAAGCCAAGGUCACCAUGGCCGAAAACACACAAGAUUGUGAACAAAACAUUCUACAAAAGUAGAAUCCAGAUAAGCAAAACACGGUGAAAAACAGUUGCUUCUGCAGGUUAUCAUGCAAUAUCCAGGCUGCCACUACAUUUGUAUACCUCAAAGCAGACAUUUUCCACUACAUCAACAAAUUUCACCAAGCUGCGCUCGCGCUCUCGUUUGAAUCAGAAGAAAUCUGACGUCGCGUCAAUAUGAAACCAAGGUUUGGAACACACCUAACAUGGAAAUAAUUAAAAGAAAUCUCCGAAAGGCGUGAUUCAUUGAAGGGCACUCCGGAUUGGCUUACAGCUAUCUGGGUUAGUGACAAAAGGAGCUUUAAAGAUGGAUAGAAUCUAUACUUGGUAUUCAGACGCUGGGAAUUCACUGACGAAGCCCAAGGACGGACACAACACGUAGGGCGGGUGAAGUACAGUUGACAGUUGAAUUUAUGGUUUUAAAUACUUUUAUAACUUUUUGGCAUGUUAUGUGAUCCUGCUCCGGGAGAAUCUGCUGAUAGUCCCUUUGGACUGAGUAGAAGUUGGAUACUGAUGGGCUUAUUUUUAUCUCGUCAGUGCAAUCAAAUAAAGCAUUAUUGAAUUAAUUUACAGUACUGCACUAGGUUUUCUUUUCUCUCCUUAUUUCCCUGUAUGCAUACCUGGAUAAAGAGAAGAUAGAGAGAUUCCACAUAUAUAUAUAUAUACAUACAUAUAUUACGUUCUGCGUACUUAUCAUCUGCAUUUGUGAGUGCACGUUAUGGUUACACCCUUUUUGGUGUUAAUAUAUACUACACCAUUGUUAUGGGCAAACACAAAUAUUGCAAGUUUUAAAAUGCAAAUAUUGUAUUUCUCAAACUGUGUACUUUGUCUUUAAGAGAUAUUGCAAACUGACAAGGUGUUAGAAAUGGAACAUAUUGUUUUUCAUAGAUGUUUCUUUAAGCAAUAACCUCAGUGCAUAAUAUGUUUGCGCCAUUUUGUCCCAGACGAAUUACAAUAACAAUAAUGUAUAAACAAGCUUCAAGGCUAUACUACGACUCUUGCAGUACACAAUAUACUGUGGUAACCCUAAGUAGAUAAAGAUGUUCAGACUUUAAGAUGCCAUCUUGAACCAAGUCAGGAAAAUUUCCAUGACGUAUACACCCUUUAGUUAUGGCCUUGUAUUUUUGCCAAGUUAAGGGAGGACCUGAAAUGAAUAAAAAUAAACAAGUUAUGAAUAGGGAGGACCUAUAUAUGAACUAUGGUGACCCUAAAAUGGAGACACCUAAGGUAUAAAUAGGUGUACUUUUAAAUGUCAAGACACAGAGGAGAGACAUGGAUACAGACGUUGCUCCAUCUUAAAAUGACAGAGAGGCUGACAUGAUG